Molecule: long non-coding RNA, 1058 nt
Filed under: Bos mutus (wild yak)
Lineage: Eukaryota; Metazoa; Chordata; Mammalia; Artiodactyla; Bovidae
Description: lncRNA (ENSBMUG00000001555.1)
Source: RNAcentral
UGCCAUUCCUCCUCCCCUAGUCCCCCAGAAACGUCAUUCACACUUUAUUUUUAAGUAGAUACUUUGGUUUUCCUUUGUUGUUGUCGUUGGGGAGUGGCUUAAGUCCCUCCGAUAAGGUCACACAUCUCCCCGCAGAGGCCUCUCUUCCCACUCAGGGGUGGUAGUGGUUGGUACAGAUGUGGUGGGGGGCCAGGCCACCUCUGCCAGUCUCUUCACAACCUCACCCAGCUGCCCCAGACCCUGGGCGGCCUCCACCAGCUGGGUCAAGCCCAGUCCCAGGGCUCGGCGGUCCUGUUGAUCUCGCUCCAGGGCCUGGGUCAGGAGUCAUGGUGUGGUAAAUAGUGGUAGUGAGGUGAGGAGUCGUGGUGGGGUGAGGAGCUGUAGUGGGGUAAGGGGCGGUGAUGGGGUGAGGAGUUGUGGUAGGGGAAGAGGUCGUGGCUGGGUGAGGGGUUGUGGUGGACAGAGGAGCCUGGCAGGCUAUACAGUCCAUGGUGUUGCAAAGAUGGGGGGAGAGGUCACUGUAGGGUGAGAGAUUGUGGUGGGAUAAGGGGUCGUGGUGGGAUAAGGGGUCGUGGUGGGAUAAGGGGUCGUGGUGGCGUGAGGGGUCGUGGUGGGGUAAAGGGCAGAAGUGGGGUGAGAGGUCACUGUAGGGUGAGAGAUUAAGAGGUCGUGGUAGGAUAAGGUGUCGUGGUGGGAUAAGGGGUCGUGGUGGCGUGAGGGGUCGAGGUGAGGUAAAGGGUAGUAGUGGGGUGAGAGGUUGCUGCGGGGUGAGAGGUCAUGGUGGAGUACGGGGCCGUGGUGGGGUGAGAGGUCGCUGCGGGGUGAGAGGUCAUGGAGGAGUACGGGGCCGUGGUGGGGUGAGAGGUCGCUGCGGGGUGAGAGGUCAUGGUGGAGUACGGGGCCGUGGUGGGGUGAGGCCCUGUGGAGCGGUCUGGGGAACUGGAAGGUUCUGGAACUGCGCUAGGCUGUGGAGACGUGCCCCGGCCUGGGGCUUUGUCCGGAUCCGGGGUCAGCCCGGAGGUAGGGGAGAGGUGGGUCGCCGCCGCCGGGGCCGAGGG